GUGAAUCAUCAAAUCUUUGAACGCAAAUUGCACUCUCUUCGGAGAGUAUGCCUGUUUGAGGGUCAGCUUAAAAAAAAUCGACAUAGUUGCUGUUACGCGGUAACAUUCGUCGGAAAUUGGGUAAUCUUAAACCUUUGGGUUUAGGCGGCUUAAAUUUUUCUUUACGAUUCAAAGAACGUUUCUAAGAUUUUAUUUUUUUAUACGUUAAAGGUAUGGAUCUUAUUAAAUC
Molecule: unclassified non-coding RNA, 229 nt
Filed under: Glomus sp.
Lineage: Eukaryota; Fungi; Glomeromycota; Glomeromycetes; Glomerales; Glomeraceae
Description: partial contains 5.8S ribosomal RNA and internal transcribed spacer 2
Rfam family: 5.8S ribosomal RNA (bases 1-65)
Source: RNAcentral